This 546-nucleotide ribosomal RNA is filed under the name uncultured bacterium. RNAcentral's name for it is "bacterial SSU rRNA". It matches the Rfam family "Bacterial small subunit ribosomal RNA", at positions 563 to 1105 of the family's 1533-position model. The record is from RNAcentral.
AAGCGUGCGCAGGCGGAUUGUUAAGCAAGACGUGAAAUCCCCGGGCUUAACCUGGGAAUGGCGUUUUGAACUGGCAGUCUAGAGUGCGUCAGAGGGGGGUGGAAUUCCACGUGUAGCAGUGAAAUGCGUAGAGAUGUGGAGGAACACCGAUGGCGAAGGCAGCCCCCUGGGAUGACACUGACGCUCAUGUACGAAAGCGUGGGUAGCAAACAGGAUUAGAUACCCUGGUAGUCCACGCCCUAAACGAUGUCAACUGGUUGUUGGGGGAGUGAAAUCCCUUAGUAACGAAGCUAACGCGUGAAGUUGACCGCCUGGGGAGUACGGUCGCAAGAUUAAAACUCAAAGGAAUUGACGGGGACCCGCACAAGCGGUGGAUGAUGUGGAUUAAUUCGAUGCAACGCGAAAAACCUUACCUACCCUUGACAUGUCCGGAAUCCUGCAGAGAUGCGGGAGUGCCCGAAAGGGAAUCGGAACACAGGUGCUGCAUGGCUGUCGUCAGCUCGUGUCGUGAGAUGUUGGGUUAAGUCCCGCAACGAGCGCAACCCU